GGGGGUUUAGCUCAGCUGGCUAGAGCACCUGCUUUGCAAGCAGGGGGUCAUCGGUUCGAAUCCGAUAUCCUCCACCA
This 77-nucleotide transfer RNA is filed under the name Bacteroidales bacterium KA00251. RNAcentral describes it as "tRNA-Ala". It matches the Rfam family "tRNA". Rfam says of the family: Transfer RNA (tRNA) molecules are approximately 80 nucleotides in length. Their secondary structure includes four short double-helical elements and three loops (D, anti-codon, and T loops). Lineage: Bacteria; Pseudomonadati; Bacteroidota; Bacteroidia; Bacteroidales. The record is from RNAcentral.